Molecule: unclassified non-coding RNA, 287 nt
Filed under: Athalia rosae (coleseed sawfly)
Lineage: Eukaryota; Metazoa; Arthropoda; Insecta; Hymenoptera; Athaliidae
Description: misc RNA ENSAEAG00005006987.1
Source: RNAcentral
CUCAACAAAGUGCGUAAGAAGAAUCUCUCAAACGAAGCCAGCUUCCAUGUCGUUUCGUUUAUUUAUCUACAGCGCUCUAUUGUCGUUAUCUAAAGCCCAUUAUAUCUCUAAGUAAAUCCCCGCUUCCAUUCGCUGCUCUUUCAUAUUUGUUUAAAUUUUUCACGAAAUUAAAAACACGAGUAUACCUAUCUGGGAAGCUUCCCUCUACCACCAUCCACCUACCUACGUUUCAACGUAACGACGUAAUUAGCUGCAGGUAGAAAUCGAAGAGCGUUACAAAUCGUGGA